GUCAAAUCCAUGCAGUUCCAAGGAACAACGGGAUUCCAAAGAACAGUCUGGUUCCCAAGGGAACGGGACCAAAGGUUGAUCAACACACUUCCAAGGGACAGUCUUUUCCCAAGGGAGUCAGGCUGAAGCCUGCACACGUAUAGUUCUGAUGAUAGUCCAGAAGUCAGACCAAAAGCUAAGCAAUUUCAGUUGAAACAGUCUGGUUCCAAAAGGAAUUGGACCAAAGGCUAGCAUAGUUCAAAGGAAUAGCCUGAUUCAAAGGGUUAGGCUGAAGUGCCACCCAAGUGCUUACAGACAAACAAGCCCUUAACCAGAAAAGGACGAAGACUUGAAAUAGAUCUUGACUACAGCCUGGAGAGCCUCCAAUAGGGUGGAAGCUUGGAUCCAGAAAAGACUUACCUUCAAACUCCAGGGCUGACAAGAAAAGCAGCGAGCUCAAUGAGCUCUCUUGUGGGUACCACAGCAGUUUGCUCACCAGCCUUGGAGGCCUUGGGGGUCUUCCCUGGAUUCCCACAUGGACCACCAAAAUAUUGACUUUAAACAAAUAGACAACCAGUUAUUUCUCCAGAAAAAGUGGGUUUAUUCAGGAUCAGUAAAGAAUUGCAACUGAGCGUCUGCAACCGUGGUGAGCCACGUAGAAAGCAGCUGCAAUGGAAAGAACACGGAUGACAAAGGCAAUGUGGACACAGAGCACUCUUACAGACAGCAAGCUCUUCACGCCAAAGAGCACUCCUGGGAUUUCCAAUGGGAGAUACUUAAUCCCAGAGAAGUUAUGAAAUUUGCUCAUAAACUUAACAAAAUGAACACAGCAGAUGAAACAGAGAGGAAGAGUUCGAUUCUGUACACCAGAGUCUGAGUUUCAAUGCUGCAGGGGACUUUGGGAAGUUUUAAUACAGUAUCUUAAUAUUUAGAAGAAGAAAUUGAGACCCAGGAAGGCUAAGUGGCCAAAUCAAAGGUGACAGAGCACAACUGGUCCCUUAGGAGCUCAGUGGUCGUGAGGAGUCUUUUCUUCAGCAGCAGGUAAAAUGUAUUUGGGCCUGGGCGACAUCAACUGGAAACCUGACAAGGCUGCUAAAUGGUCACGGGCCUUGGAAAAGUUAUUGAACAG
RNAcentral lists this long non-coding RNA (1108 nucleotides) under Equus caballus (horse). Its description in RNAcentral is "lncRNA (ENSECAG00000040572.3)". The record is from RNAcentral. Lineage: Eukaryota; Metazoa; Chordata; Mammalia; Perissodactyla; Equidae.